Molecule: long non-coding RNA, 1494 nt
Organism: Syngnathoides biaculeatus (alligator pipefish)
Lineage: Eukaryota; Metazoa; Chordata; Actinopteri; Syngnathiformes; Syngnathidae
Exons: 3
Source: RefSeq, a predicted model, not a curated record
GGGGGGGGGGAUUACAGACCUGCUGACCCUGCAUGACUUCACCCAUCAGGCAUUUUUCUGCCCACUAUUUGUGAGAAAACUGCUCCAGCUGCCUCAGGUCUUAAGGGGGUCUUCUCCAGACUGCGUGCGUGAACUCCUUCAGAUGUUCAACAAGAUUGAGAAAAAUAUUCAAAGACGGGCCACUUCUGAAUAGUCCAAUAUUUUGUUCUCUUGUUGUCCACUCCCGGGUGGUCUUUGGCUUUGUUUUGGGUCUUCAUCCUGUCGUGAGGACAGAAGACCUUGGGCAGGGACCGGACUUUGUCACGGCAGGCUGCACAAUUCUCUCCAGAAGGUCUUAAAGGACUUUUGAGAUUGUUUGGUGCAGUGCUGGGAUGCUGCAAAGCUUCCCCAGCUCAGAACUUAAGAUUAUAAUCAUAAAGCUGCACAGCAAGUACAGCGUUUUAUUCAUUUUUUUUUCGGCGUGCAAACGUAGCGCCGGUGCCACUUGCCAAAAGCUCCAUUUUUGUGUCAUCCGGCCAAAAGGACCUUCUCCGAGAAGUCGCAUUUGGGCCAAUUCCACUCUCAUUAGUUCCGAGUUGUUUUGUGUGUUUUUUCUCUCUUUCACAGAAGCGUCCCAACAAUUUCUCGUCUGGGAUGAACAAACAUUCGGUGUUGACGAACGCCAACAAUUUUCCAAGGCGUCCAGCACACAGCUGGGCCAGCAGACAUGGAAGCCGCCGCCCAGACCGCCGGCGCCGGCGCCUUCGACCCGGAGACUUUCUCCAGGAAAGCCUUGAGAGCGACCACCAGAGGGGCUUCGUCUCAUUUCGUGGGGAGCUCCAUUAUCAUCCUGUCCUCUUUCGCCGUGUCCACUCUGGCCAUGAACUGCGGGAAAAAGAUCCAGGAGACCCGGCACAAGGCCAACGACAACUGACGCGGACGCGGCCCUGCCGGCGGACGUUGCGUCUUCGCAGUUGCCGACUACGACGCGUUAUCAUACCGAUGCUGCGGAAACACGGAGCGGCAGAUGUGUCGCUUCAGAACGGCGACUGCGCGGGAUGGCUGCAAAAUCUGGCGUCCAUCUCUGGACCAGCGCCAAGGCCUCGACACCUUGCAAAGAAGGCAGCCAACCGUAUGUCGUCAUAUCGUCGCGACUCAUCCUUUAAAUUUGGCUAGAUACAGAAACGCGUAAGAUGUGAUUUUUGUGCUUGUGCGCGCGAGGACAAAAAAAGCAAAAUGGAUGUCAAAGGUAUAAAUGUGUUUCCUUUUUGAAUUGCGUCACACUUGUUUUAAUUCCUUUAACUAUGAAUUUGUUACCAAAACUGAUGAUUUGGAUCAAAAUUGAAGGGCCCGACAUAAUUGAAGCAAUCUUGUUGAGAGCAAGUUUGGACCAAUCAUGUGAUAUCCUUUUUUUUUUUUUUUUUUUCCAAAUGUGAUAAAAUGCCCUCCAACCUUAUUCACUAAAACCUUCCCAAAGUGUUCAGAGGAAGUUUUGUGUGUCUUUAAUCCGGUGAA